Non-coding RNA from Pelobates cultripes (western spadefoot toad), 214 nucleotides. The record is from the annotation of a GenBank genome assembly. Lineage: Eukaryota; Metazoa; Chordata; Amphibia; Anura; Pelobatidae.
CCUGUACAUGUAGGGUGCUGUUUUACUGCAGAGACUUAGAUGAACACAAAUAUUUGUGUUUCAAAACAGUAAAACAUAUCACAGUAAUGAUAUUGUCAGUAACAGUGAAGUUGUUUGCAUUCUUCAAACAUAAAUGGCACUUUCACUGACGAUACCAUCGUUGUAAUUUGUUUUCAGCGAAGUCUUCCGAGUAAAACAGUAACCCCCCACGUGU